This 428-nucleotide ribosomal RNA is filed under the name uncultured bacterium. RNAcentral describes it as "partial 16S ribosomal RNA". It matches the Rfam family "Bacterial small subunit ribosomal RNA", at positions 354 to 796 of the family's 1533-position model. The record is from RNAcentral.
GUCGAGAAUCUUCCGCAAUGCGCGAAAGCGUGACGGAGCGACACCGCGUUAUGGAUGAAGUCCUUCGGGGCGUAAACAUCUUUUAUAAAGGAGGAAAUUUUUGACGUUACUUUAUGAAUAAGGGGCUCCCAAUCUCGUGCCAGCAGGAGCGGUAAUACGAGAGCCUCAAGCGUUAUCCGGAAUCAUUGGGCGUAAAGGGUGCGUAGGUGGUUUGAUUAGUCUCCCGUUAAAACUUCGAGCUUAACUCGAAAAGAGCGGGGGAAACGGUCAAACUAGAGUAUGUGAGAGGUGUGUGGAACUCAUGGUGUAGGGGUGAAAUCCGUUGAUAUCAUGGGGAACACCAAAAGCGAAGGCAGCACACUGGCACAUCACUGACACUGAGGCACGAAACCUAAGGUAGCGAAUGGGAUUAGAAACCCUGGUAGUCC